UUUCCGUAGGUGAACCUGCGGAAGGAUCAUUAUUGUAUAACCGAGGUGCGAGGGCUGUCGCUGACCCGAAAGGUCGUGCACACUCGAGUGCCCCCACACACAUCCAUCUCACCCCUAUGUGCACCACCGCGUGGGUCCCCCUUUGGCUUGUUCGGAGGGGGGCUUACGUUUUCACACAAACUUUGUAUGCAGUGUAGAAUGUAUUUUUUGUUUUUGCGAUCACGCAAUCAAUACAACUUUCAACAACGGAUCUCUUGGCUCUC
This 263-nucleotide unclassified non-coding RNA is filed under the name plant metagenome. RNAcentral's name for it is "partial contains small subunit ribosomal RNA, internal transcribed spacer 1, and 5.8S ribosomal RNA". The record is from RNAcentral.